RNAcentral lists this ribosomal RNA (253 nucleotides) under uncultured bacterium. RNAcentral's name for it is "partial 16S ribosomal RNA". It matches the Rfam family "Bacterial small subunit ribosomal RNA", at positions 524 to 776 of the family's 1533-position model. The record is from RNAcentral.
GACGUAGGGCGCGAGCGUUGUCCGGAUUUAUUGGGCGUAAAGAGCUCGUAGGCGGCUUGUCGCGUCGAAUGUGAAAUCUCAGGGCUCAACUCUGACAUUGCAUUCGAUACGGGCAGGCUAGAGUUCGGUAGGGGAGACUGGAAUUCCUGGUGUAGCGGUGAAAUGCGCAGAUAUCAGGAGGAACACCGGUGGCGAAGGCGGUUCUCUGGGCCUGUACUGACGCUGAGGAACGAAAGCGUGGGGAGCGAACAGG